RNAcentral lists this ribosomal RNA (614 nucleotides) under uncultured bacterium. RNAcentral's name for it is "bacterial SSU rRNA". It matches the Rfam family "Bacterial small subunit ribosomal RNA", at positions 125 to 731 of the family's 1533-position model. The record is from RNAcentral.
UCUGCCUAGUAGUGGGGGAUAACUUGCCGAAAGGUAAGCUAAUACCGCGUACGUCCUACGGGAGAAAGCAGGGGAGCCUUCGGGUCCUUGCGCUAUUAGAUGAGCCUAGGUCGGAUUAGCUUGUUGGUGAGGUAAUGGCUCACCAAGGCGACGAUCCGUAGCUGGUCUGAGAGGAUGAUCAGCCACACUGGGACUGAGACACGGCCCAGACUCCUACGGGAGGCAGCAGUGGGGAAUAUUGGACAAUGGGGGCAACCCCGAUCCAGCCAUGCCGCGUGUGUGAAGAAGGUCUUCGGAUUGUAAAGCACUUUAAGUUGGGAGGAAGGGCUUACGGCUAAUACCCGUUAAGUUUUGACGUUACCAACAGAAUAAGCACCGGCUAACUUCGUGCCAGCAGCCGCGGUAAUACGAAGGGUGCAAGCGUUAAUCGGAAUUACUGGGCGUAAAGCGCGCGUAGGUGGUUCGUCAAGUUGGAAGUGAAAGCCCUGGGCUCCACCUAGGAAUUGCUUUCAAAACUGGCGGGCUAAAGUACGGUAGAGGGUAGUGGAAUUUCCUGUGUAGCGGUGAAAUGCGUAGAUAUAGGAAGGAACAUCAGUGGCGAAGGCGACUACCUG